Hemicordylus capensis (graceful crag lizard) is the source of this 419-nucleotide long non-coding RNA. RefSeq lists it as uncharacterized. Lineage: Eukaryota; Metazoa; Chordata; Lepidosauria; Squamata; Cordylidae. The transcript has 3 exons. The record is from RefSeq and is a predicted model, not a curated record.
UUUUAAAAAGUCAAGCAACACUUGAUUUCAUCUAGAAAAAUACAGGAAGUCAGCAGAUAUUUUUUCACACUGGCAAGACGGGGGGGGGGGAAGACUUCAAGGAGCUGCCUGCGACCUUGACUUGGACACCAGAUGGACAGGCUUCUGAUACAUGGCAGAGCUUUAGGAUAAUUUCUCAGGGUGAGAGAUCUGCAGUCUAAUGAUUCUCAUCAGUAGUUUGGAGGAUCCUGAAGACGUACCUAUUUUCCCAGGCUUUUAACUGAAAUCUAAUUUUUAAAUGUUAAUGUGUUUUGAUCUAUUGUGAUUUUUAUCUGUUUUAUGAAUUUUAAAUAUUUUAUAUUAUGUUUUAAUCUGAACACCGCCUAGAGAUUUCUGUAUUAAGAGGUAUAGACAUUCAAUAAAAUAAAUAAUAAAAUGUA